Molecule: ribosomal RNA, 253 nt
Filed under: uncultured bacterium
Lineage: Bacteria
Description: partial 16S ribosomal RNA
Rfam family: Bacterial small subunit ribosomal RNA
Source: RNAcentral
GACAGAGGGUGCAAACGUUGCUCGGAAUCACUGGGCGUAAAGGGCGUGUAGGCGGGAAUGUAAGUCGGGCGUGAAAGCCCCAGGCUCAACCUGGGAACUGCACUCGAAACUGCGUUUCUUGAGUAUCGGAGAGGAAAGCGGAAUACCUGGUGUAGAGGUGAAAUUCGUAGAUAUCAGGUGGAACACCAGUGGCGAAGGCGGCAUCCUGGACCGACAUUGACGCUGAACGGCGAAAGCUAGGGGAGCAAACGGG